UAAGAGGUCCAGCCUGCCCAGUGACAGCAAGUUCAACGGCCGCGGUACUCUGACCGUGCGAAGGUAGCAUAAUCACUUGUUCUUUAAUUGAGGACUAGUAUCAACGGCAUCACGAAGAUUUUACUGUCUCCUUUUUCUAAUCAGUGAAACUGAUCUCCCCGUGAAGAAGCGGGGAUAACCCUAUAAGACGAGAAGACCCCAUGGAGCUUUAAACCCAAUGACAUCCCUAUCCUCUUACUCUGCCUCAAAAUUUACAAGACCUGUCCAUUGGUUUUAGGUUGGGGUGACCGCGGAGUACAACCAAUCCUCCACAACGCACGGACCUUCCUCCUUAUCUUAGAGCCACAUCUCAAAGAAUCAAUAAAUUGACGUAACAUGAUCCAAUAACUUUGAUUAAUGAACCAAGUUACCCUGGGGAUAACAGCGCAAUCCAUUUUUAGAGCCCUUAUCAACAAAUGGGUUUACGACCUCGAUGUUGGAUCAGGGUAUCCCAGCGGUGCAGCCGCUGCUGACGGUUUGUUUGUUCAACAAUUAAA
This 536-nucleotide ribosomal RNA is filed under the name Minervarya cepfi. RNAcentral's name for it is "partial 16S ribosomal RNA". It matches the Rfam family "Bacterial large subunit ribosomal RNA", at positions 1846 to 2592 of the family's 2925-position model. The record is from RNAcentral. Lineage: Eukaryota; Metazoa; Chordata; Amphibia; Anura; Dicroglossidae.